ACGUUAGCGGCGGACGGGUGAGUAACACGUGGGUAACCUACCUAUAAGACUGGGAUAACUUCGGGAAACCGGAGCUAAUACCGGAUAAUAUUUCGAACCGCAUGGUUCGACAGUGAAAGAUGGUUUUGCUAUCACUUAUAGAUGGACCCGCGCCGUAUUAGCUAGUUGGUAAGGUAACGGCUUACCAAGGCGACGAUACGUAGCCGACCUGAGAGGGUGAUCGGCCACACUGGAACUGAGACACGGUCCAGACUCCUACGGGAGGCAGCAGGU
RNAcentral lists this ribosomal RNA (273 nucleotides) under uncultured Staphylococcus sp. Its description in RNAcentral is "partial 16S ribosomal RNA". It matches the Rfam family "Bacterial small subunit ribosomal RNA", at positions 89 to 354 of the family's 1533-position model. The record is from RNAcentral. Lineage: Bacteria; Bacillati; Bacillota; Bacilli; Caryophanales; Staphylococcaceae.